This 161-nucleotide small nuclear RNA is filed under the name Chelydra serpentina (North American snapping turtle). RNAcentral describes it as "U1 spliceosomal RNA (ENSCSRG00000012410.1)". The stretch from base 1 to 138 matches the Rfam family "U1 spliceosomal RNA". Rfam says of the family: U1 is a small nuclear RNA (snRNA) component of the spliceosome (involved in pre-mRNA splicing). The record is from Rfam by way of RNAcentral. Lineage: Eukaryota; Metazoa; Chordata; Testudines; Chelydridae.
CCACCUCCCUGCUGGGGAGAUACCAUGAUCACGAAGGUGGUUUUCCCAGGGUGAGGCUCAUCCAUUGCACUGCGGGUGUGCUGACCCCUGCGAUUUCCCCAAAUGCGGGAAACUCGACUGCAUAAUUUGUGCUGAUUCAGCAUGGAGCAUUCCCGUCUUGC